UGGGGAAUAUUGCACAAUGGGCGAAAGCCUGAUGCAGCAACGCCGCGUGAAGGAAGAAGGCCUUCGGGUCGUAAACUUCUGUCCUUGGGGAAGAAGAACUGACGGUACCCAAGGAGGAAGCCCCGGCUAACUACGUGCCAGCAGCCGCGGUAAUACGUAGGGCGAAGCGUUAUCCGGAAUUAUUGGGCGUAAAGAGUACGUAGGUGGCAACUUAAGCGCAGGGUAUAAGGCAAUGGCUUAACCAUUGCUCGCCCUGCGAACUGGGAUGCUUGAGUGCAGGAGAGGAAAGCGGAAUUCCUAGUGUAGCGGUGAAAUGCGUAGAUAUUAGGAGGAACACCAGUGGCGAAGGCGGCUUUCUGGACUGUAACUGACACUGAGGUACGAAAGCGUGGGGAGCAAACAGGAUUAGAUACCC
Molecule: ribosomal RNA, 415 nt
Filed under: uncultured bacterium
Lineage: Bacteria
Description: bacterial SSU rRNA
Rfam family: Bacterial small subunit ribosomal RNA
Source: RNAcentral